CCUCCGUUCAUUUGUUUCGAAGUGCAGCCCCCUGACCCUUAGCCUCCGGCCCUCACAUCCCUCACCAGACUGAGAAUUUCCAGUUCUCUCUCGCUCUCCAUAGUUGCUGACAGAAACAGAUGCUAAAGGGAAUCAGGACAUCAGAACUUGAUUGGUAAUCUGCAAAUCCACGAGGAUUUUGGCAACAUGGGUCGGUCCAAAUCUGAUUAGGGAGGGCUCUCUGAUCAAAAGGGAGCUAUUUUUCUGUAAAUUUGAGAGAACCCAGGAGGUAGGAUUUGUUAUUGUGGACAAGUUAAUAUGCGUUGCAGCUGCUUUGGUGCUUCGGUUGCUGAGAGGAAAAGGAAAUCUGGUUCUGGUCAAUUUGGCCAUGAUCUUGAUGAGAAUGUGCUGGAAAAUAUCAAGGCUUUCUCCUACAAUGAAUUAAGAUCCGCGACGGAUAAUUUCCAUCCGAGUAAUAAGAUCGGGCGAGGCGGUUUUGGAACUGUGUACAAGGUACUCAGAUUAUGCAUUUGUCUUGUAAUAGUUAUAAUUGGGAAGUUUGCACCAAUUAUAGAGAAUUCAUGAUAUCUGUGGUUCGAAUUAUGUUAGUUGUUUUCGAUUCCAAAUUUGUUGCAA
Molecule: long non-coding RNA, 615 nt
Organism: Malus domestica (apple)
Lineage: Eukaryota; Viridiplantae; Streptophyta; Magnoliopsida; Rosales; Rosaceae
Source: RefSeq, a predicted model, not a curated record